This 468-nucleotide ribosomal RNA is filed under the name uncultured bacterium. Its description in RNAcentral is "partial 16S ribosomal RNA". It matches the Rfam family "Bacterial small subunit ribosomal RNA", at positions 28 to 507 of the family's 1533-position model. The record is from RNAcentral.
GACGAACGCUGGCGGCGUGCUUAACACAUGCAAGUCGAACGGAAAGGCCCUGCUUUUGUGGGGUGCUCGAGUGGCGAAAGGGUGAGUAACACGUGAGUAACCUGCCCUUGACUUUGGGAUAACUUCAGGAAACUGGGGCUAAUACCGGAUAGGAGCUCCUGCUGCCUGGUGGGGGUUGGAACGUUUCGGCGGUUGGGGAUGGACUCGCGGCUUAUCAGCUUGUUGGUGGGGUAGUGGCUUACCAAGGCUUUGACGGGUAGCCGGCCUGAGAGGGUGACCGGCCACAUUGGGACUGAGAUACGGCCCAGACUCCUACGGGAGGCAGCAGUGGGGAAUAUUGCACAAUGGGCGGAAGCCUGAUGCAGCAACGCCGCGUGCGGGAUGACGGCCUUCGGGUUGUAAACCGCUUUCGCCUGUGACGAAGCGUGAGUGACGGUAAUGGGUAAAGAAGCACCGGCUAACUACGUG